Molecule: transfer RNA, 72 nt
Filed under: Heterocephalus glaber (naked mole-rat)
Lineage: Eukaryota; Metazoa; Chordata; Mammalia; Rodentia; Bathyergidae
Rfam family: tRNA
About the family: Transfer RNA (tRNA) molecules are approximately 80 nucleotides in length. Their secondary structure includes four short double-helical elements and three loops (D, anti-codon, and T loops). Further hydrogen bonds mediate the characteristic L-shaped molecular structure. tRNAs have two regions of fundamental functional importance: the anti-codon, which is responsible for specific mRNA codon recognition, and the 3' end, to which the tRNAs corresponding amino acid is attached (by aminoacyl-tRNA synthetases). tRNAs cope with the degeneracy of the genetic code in two manners: having more than one tRNA (with a specific anti-codon) for a particular amino acid; and 'wobble' base-pairing, i.e. permitting non-standard base-pairing at the 3rd anti-codon position.
Source: Rfam by way of RNAcentral
GGAGAUGUACCUCAGUGGUAGGGUGCUUACCUAAUGUGUCUAAGGCCCUGGGUUCAAUCCUCAGCAUCACUA